GAUGAACGCUGGCGGCGUGCCUAAUACAUGCAAGUCGAGCGAACGGACGAGAAGCUUGCUUCUCUGAUGUUAGCGGCGGACGGGUGAGUAACACGUGGAUAACCUACCUAUAAGACUGGGAUAACUUCGGGAAACCGGAGCUAAUACCGGAUAAUAUUUUGAACCGCAUGGUUCAAAAGUGAAAGACGGUCUUGCUGUCACUUAUAGAUUGAUCCGCGCUGCAUUAGCUAGUUGGUAAGGUAACGGCUUACCAAGGCAACGAUGCAUAGCCGACCUGAGAGGGUGAUCGGCCACACUGGAACUGAGACACGGUACAGACUCCUACGGGAGGCAGCAGUAGGGAAUCUUCCGCAAUGGGCGAAAGCCUGACGGAGCAACGCCGCGUGAGUGAUGAAGGUCUUCGGAUCGUAAAACUCUGUUAUUAGGGAAGAACAUAUGUGUAAGUAACUGUGCACAUCUUGACGGUACCUAAUCAGAAAGCCACGGCUAACUACGUG
This 497-nucleotide ribosomal RNA is filed under the name uncultured bacterium. Its description in RNAcentral is "partial 16S ribosomal RNA". It matches the Rfam family "Bacterial small subunit ribosomal RNA", at positions 28 to 507 of the family's 1533-position model. The record is from RNAcentral.